Molecule: ribosomal RNA, 439 nt
Filed under: uncultured bacterium
Lineage: Bacteria
Description: partial 16S ribosomal RNA
Rfam family: Bacterial small subunit ribosomal RNA
Source: RNAcentral
CUACGGGUGGCUGCAGUGGGGAAUAUUGCACAAUGGGGGAAACCCUGAUGCAGCAACGCCGCGUGGAGGAUGACACAUUUCGGUGCGUAAACUCCUUUUAUAUAAGAAGAUAAUGACGGUAUUAUAUGAAUAAGCACCGGCUAACUCCGUGCCAGCAGCCGCGGUAAUACGGAGGGUGCAAGCGUUAUUCGGAAUCACUGGGCGUAAAGGGUGCGUAGGCGGUUUGGAAAGUCAGGUGUGAAAGCCCGGGGCUCAACUCCGGAACUGCACUUGAAACUUCCAGACUAGAAUACUGAAGGGGCAGAUGGAAUUAGUGGUGUAGGGGUAAAAUCCGUAGAUAUCACUAGGAAUACCGAAAGCGAAAGCGAUCUGCUGGGAAGUUAUUGACGCUGAGGCACGAAAGCGUGGGGAGCAAACAGGAUUAGAUACCCCGGUAGUC